CCUACGGGUGGCUGCAGUGGGGAAUAUUGGACAAUGGGGGCAACCCUGAUCCAGCCAUGCCGCGUGUGAAGAAGGCCCUCGGGUUGUAAAGCACUUUCAGUGAGGAAGAACGCCUGGUGGUUAAUACCCAUCAGGAAAGACAUCACUCACAGAAGAAGCACCGGCUAACUCCGUGCCAGCAGCCGCGGUAAUACGGAGGGUGCGAGCGUUAAUCGGAAUUACUGGGCGUAAAGCGCGCGUAGGUGGCUUGAUAAGCCGGUUGUGAAAGCCCCGGGCUCAACCUGGGAACGGCAUCCGGAACUGUCAAGCUAGAGUGCAGGAGAGGAAGGUAGAAUUCCCGGUGUAGCGGUGAAAUGCGUAGAGAUCGGGAGGAAUACCAGUGGCGAAGGCGGCCUUCUGGACUGACACUGACACUGAGGUGCGAAAGCGUGGGUAGCAAACAGGAUUAGAUACCCUUGUAGUC
RNAcentral lists this ribosomal RNA (463 nucleotides) under Vreelandella stevensii. RNAcentral describes it as "partial 16S ribosomal RNA". It matches the Rfam family "Bacterial small subunit ribosomal RNA", at positions 338 to 795 of the family's 1533-position model. The record is from RNAcentral. Lineage: Bacteria; Pseudomonadati; Pseudomonadota; Gammaproteobacteria; Oceanospirillales; Halomonadaceae.